UGCGUGGCGGCAGCUACCAUGCAGUCGAGCGGUAACAGGGGUAGCUUGCUACCCGCUGACGAGCGGCGGACGGGUGAGUAAUGCAUAGGAAUCUGCCCGAUAGUGGGGGAUAACCUGGGGAAACCCAGGCUAAUACCGCAUACGUCCUACGGGAGAAAGGGGGCUCCGGCUCCCGCUAUUGGAUGAGCCUAUGUCGGAUUAGCUAGUUGGUAAGGUAAUGGCUUACCAAGGCAACGAUCCGUAGCUGGUCUGAGAGGAUGAUCAGCCACAUCGGGACUGAGACACGGCCCGAACUCCUACGGGAGGCAGCAGUGGGGAAUAUUGGACAAUGGGGGCAACCCUGAUCCAGCCAUGCCGCGUGUGUGAAGAAGGCCCUCGGGUUGUAAAGCACUUUCAGCGAGGAAGAACGCCUAUCGGUUAAUACCCGGUAGGAAAGACAUCACUCGCAGAAGAAGCACCGGCUAACUCCGUGCCAGCAGCCGCGGUAAUACGGAGGGUGCAAGCGUUAAUCGGAAUUACUGGGCGUAAAGCGCGCGUAGGUGGCUUGAUAAGCCGGUUGUGAAAGCCCCGGGCUCAACCUGGGAACGGCAUCCGGAACUGUCAGGCUAGAGUGCAGGAGAGGAAGGUAGAAUUCCCGGUGUAGCGGUGAAAUGCGUAGAGAUCGGGAGGAAUACCAGUGGCGAAGGCGGCCUUCUGGACUGACACUGACACUGAGGUGCGAAAGCGUGGGUAGCAAACAGGAUUAGAUACCCUGGUAGUCCACGCCGUAAACGAUGUCGACCAGCCGUUGGGUGCCUAGAGCACUUUGUGGCGAAGUUAACGCGAUAAGUCGACCGCCUGGGGAGUACGGCCGCAAGGUUAAAACUCAAAUGAAUUGACGGGGGCCCGCACAAGCGGUGGAGCAUGUGGUUUAAUUCGAUGCAACGCGAAAACCUUACCUACCCUUGACAUCUACAGAAGCCGAGAGAUUCUGUGUGCCUUCGGGAACUGUAGACAGUGCUGCAUGCUGUCGUCAGCUCGUGUUGUGAAAUGUGGUUAAGUCCCGUACCG
RNAcentral lists this ribosomal RNA (1050 nucleotides) under Halomonas sp. Its description in RNAcentral is "bacterial SSU rRNA". It matches the Rfam family "Bacterial small subunit ribosomal RNA", at positions 34 to 1094 of the family's 1533-position model. Lineage: Bacteria; Pseudomonadati; Pseudomonadota; Gammaproteobacteria; Oceanospirillales; Halomonadaceae. The record is from RNAcentral.